This 1298-nucleotide long non-coding RNA is filed under the name Junco hyemalis (dark-eyed junco). RNAcentral describes it as "lncRNA (ENSJHYG00000007296.1)". The record is from RNAcentral. Lineage: Eukaryota; Metazoa; Chordata; Aves; Passeriformes; Passerellidae.
AGCUUCACGUGACAUCGCGAAAUCUUCCGAGCGCCUGACCCUAUCUACCACAAUAAAUAUACAAGAGACAGUAACUAUUCUGGGGCACUUCAGACAAAUUCUAAAUCAGAUGAUGUAAAUGCCUCAAAGCAAGAAAUUUGAAAGCUAUUCAGUUUUCUUUGAACACUAUUUUGGAUAUGGAUUUCAAGCAUUCAGAGAGGGAAAUCUCUUCUGUCAGUGGGAUCUCAUGUGUUUUAGCUGGAGAAGCAGUGGUAACAUGUGAGUGAGCUGUGGUGCCAUGCUCCAAAUCCCUCAACAACAGACCUGUAUCUUGGGUGAACUAAAUUAGCAUGUGAUCAUUGAGAAGGACUUCUCUCCCAGUUGAAAGUUCUUACUUGAAUACAUAACUACCCAAAGGCAGAGAAAGCUGAUCUGAAUGACUGAUACAUAAUUUUUAUUGGCUUUCAUGGAUACUGUUUGCAUUCAUUACUGAGAACCCAUUGCACAGAAUGAAGUAUUACUGAAUCAUUUCUUAGAAUUAUUAAGCAUAAGCCAGCUUUCAUCCCACAUGCAGGCUUUGAACUCUUACUGAAUACUUUUUUCAAUUCAUUGUCUUUGGGCUCUUUGUUCCACCUGCAGGUCUUGUCUUUGCCAUCUACACAACUUCCAAAACAAUGGGGUUGACCCUGCUGCUUUGAUAUGAGACGCUCUCACUGGCACUGGAGGAGCUUUACCUGUGCUGAGAUGAUGUUGGCUGUAUAUUUAUUGUGACAAUGACAAAGAACUGCCUGGCUUACUGGUUGCCUGUUGGUUUGGGUGCUGUUGAGGGGAAGGAGUCUGUCGUUUUGGGACAUGAAUUGAGCUCACAAGGAAUUCAAAGAGCAGAGCAAGAACUAGCAUUUGCAAAUCAUGCAAAGAAAGGGUCUUACUCUGAGGUCUUCUGUUAUUAACAGACAAGUACUUUUGCCAGGAAAGGGUCUGAACCUCUGACUUUCAAUAGUGGUCAUCAGCCUUAAGUCUCAAAGACUGGAGAUGCAUCUAACCACAAAUACCCAAGCCUGGAAAUCCCUUCUCAGAGGCAAAACAGCUUCCAGGCUCUGACUAGGUAAUGUGAAGAAACCUGAAGAUGUUUUCCAUGGCCUUAUUAUACCUGUUAUGAGGCUGAACAGUCUGAAGUGUUUGAUGGCUCCCACCCAAGUCAGCCUCAUAGUGUCUACCACAUAUGAGUAACACCAGUCUGUGAACCAUAAGUAAAACCACUUCAGUAUAGUUCCAUUAAGGUAUGUUCUACAAAUAAAAAUUGAGAACAGCUCCCUGCA